UCCAGACUCCUACGGGAGGCAGCAGUGGGGAAUAUUGCACAAUGGGGGAAACCCUGAUGCAGCGACGCCGCGUGAGCGAUGAAGUAUCUCGGUAUGUAAAGCUCUAUCAGCAGGGAAGAAAGUGACAGUACCUGACUAAGAAGCCCCGGCUAACUACGUGCCAGCAGCCGCGGUAAUACGUAGGGGGCAAGCGUUAUCCGGAUUUACUGGGUGUAAAGGGAGCGUAGACGGCAGGGCAAGUCUGGAGUGAAAGGCAGGGGCCCAACCCCUGGACUGCUCUGGAAACUGUCCGGCUGGAGUGCAGGAGAGGUAAGUGGAAUUCCUAGUGUAGCGGUGAAAUGCGUAGAUAUUAGGAGGAACACCAGUGGCGAAGGCGGCUUACUGGACUGUAACUGACGUUGAGGCUCGAAAGCGUGGGGAGCAAACAGGAUUAGAUACCCGCGUAGU
RNAcentral lists this ribosomal RNA (447 nucleotides) under uncultured bacterium. Its description in RNAcentral is "bacterial SSU rRNA". It matches the Rfam family "Bacterial small subunit ribosomal RNA", at positions 330 to 794 of the family's 1533-position model. The record is from RNAcentral.